UUCAGUUCAUUCAUUCUCAACACCCCUACAUCCCCUCUCACUCACCCUUUUCUGUUCAAAACACUCUCGCCGGAGACACCGCAUCGCUGCCGGAGAAGACGACCGGAAGCACCCUCCAUCGCCGGAACUUCGCCGGAGAACCCGAAGACGUCCCCAGAAGCCCGCACGCUUCUGUUUUGGUAUAUCCUUCUAGUUCCACUUGCUUCCUCGAUUUGUCCAUGUUAAAAUGUAUUUUUUUUUUUUUUUUGACGUUUUGAUCACCGAACAUACGAAUUAGAAUUGAGUUAAAAGCUACUGUUUUCAUUAAAAAUGAUGAUGAAAAUAUGUGUUGGUCAAUUUCCAAUAAGAAAGUCUAAAAGGAAUCUACUGUUAUAUAUAAUAUUCUUAUCCCAUUUUUUUGUUCGGUUAAUAUCCAUUACGAAAUUCUUUUGAACUUUAGCAAAAUAAGCAAACAUUUCAGUAUAUUAAUCAAUAGUUCUUUUCUUACAAUUUUCUAUAUAUAAUGAAACAUCAAACUAACAAAUAUUCAUUUGGUAUAUACUUAACAGUUGCUUAAUAUAUAUAUAUUUUUCUAGAAGAAAGAAGAUGACAAAGAUGAUAUGUUUUAAAAAUAAUAACUUUCUUUUAUUUGAUUUUGUCUUUUAUUUAUUGAUUUAUUUUUUUUUUAUCUAAUUAAAGCCAUAAACUUAAAUCUAAAUAGUUAAUGAAUUAUUAAUUUGGAAACAAAAUACUAAACUUUAACCUAUAAAUUAACGAGUUCGUUAUGUGACAUUCUAAAUAUCUAGGAUAACAUAUCCUGUUCGUUCACUUGGAUUAUUCUCCAUCCUUGCUCGUACGUUCUUACAAGAAAGCGCAACGCAAUCAAUGUGAGUAUACAUGACCCAUUUUCUAUUUUCCACUUUUGGGUUGAUUUAUCAAGAAUUCAAGAAAACAAGCUAGGAUGGCUUUAGAAACACAUUUUAGUUAUAAACCUUGUUGAGAUUAUGUUUUGGAUAUUUGAAACUUUGUAUUGUUCCCUAGUUUUAAUAAAUGGAUUAAUUUUAUAUUAUC
RNAcentral lists this long non-coding RNA (1050 nucleotides) under Helianthus annuus (common sunflower). RNAcentral describes it as "hypothetical non coding rna". Lineage: Eukaryota; Viridiplantae; Streptophyta; Magnoliopsida; Asterales; Asteraceae. The record is from RNAcentral.